RNAcentral lists this ribosomal RNA (488 nucleotides) under uncultured bacterium. RNAcentral describes it as "bacterial SSU rRNA". It matches the Rfam family "Bacterial small subunit ribosomal RNA", at positions 28 to 533 of the family's 1533-position model. The record is from RNAcentral.
GAUGAACGUUGGCGGCGUGCCUAAUACAUGCAAGUCGAACGAAGACUGUAGUAAUACUGUCUUAGUGGCGAACGGGUGAGUAACGCGUGGGUGACCUGCCCCGAAGUGUGGGAUAACAGUCCGAAAGGAUUGCUAAUACUGCAUAAUAUCCAAGAGAUUAGAUGCUUUUUGGAUUAAAGGAGUAAUUCGCUUCGGGAGGGGCCCGCGUCCCAUCAGCUAGUUGGUAAGGUAAUGGCUUACCAAGGCGAUGACGGGUAGGGGACCUGAGAGGGUGGCCCCCCACAAUGGAACUGAAACACGGUCCAUACACCUACGGGUGGCAGCAGUAGGGAAUAUUAGUAAUGGGCGAAAGCCUGAACUAGCAACGCCGCGUGUGCGAAGAAGGCCUUCGGGUUGUAAAGCACUUUUGUAGAGGAUGAGGAAGGACGGUACUCUCAGAAUAAGUCUCGGCUAACUACGUGCCAGCAGCCGCGGUAAGAGUGUGUGUA